UUCACCAAAUUCGUAUCAAGCAUCUGAUAAGAGGGGAAAAGAAGCUCCCUGUAAGUUGCACCACUUAAAAACUAUUUUCAGAGGCUAAACAAUGUGUAUUUUGAUUUGAGCAAAAGAACCCUCAUGAAAAAAGUGGAAGGAGGCAAGCAGAAACCAAAUACGCGCUCCCUUGGUGAUGAAGGAUUAACCACCACAGCUGUCUCUUCCCAGAAUGAUGCAGUGCAGUUCUCCUCGACACGACAGCAUCACUUAAUCUUAAUGUCCACUCUUCCAGUGCAGCCACGCAGGACAAAGCCAAUCAACAUCAGAUGCCACCAAGAUGGACCUACUGCUUGGCCCUGGAGUCUUUCACCCUCACACACCUAUUAAUCAACAUCAUCCAGCCCAAUCCCAGAGUUUGGUUCUCGGAAACUACACUUAAAACUAAGCAUGGGUGUAUGUUUUCGGUCAGAGGUGCUUUUUUUAAGGGACUAUGCAUAUGAACUGAACUUACCAAACGUUUAAUCCAAGAAAUAAUUACUUUUCUCCCAAGAAGUUUAUCUGUAUAGGCUUUGGUCUGCUAUUUUUUACUUUUUUUAAAAAAAAAUAUACCCAGUAAUUUUGUGCAUGCAUAAUCCGACAGUUGUGACACAGGCACAUAUUUAGUAUUUAUGACCUCAUGGCAUGAAAUACUUGAAGAGGGAUAAUAACUGUCUCAAACUGUGAAGUUUUUAUGAGGAUUCCUAUUUGACUAACAUGUAAAAAGGAUAAAUUUAGACACCCGAACUCUGUUCUGAAAACUGGAACAGCUAUUUUCAACAGCACAAUAUGGUAAAUGACAACAACAACGAGUAUAGUGAGUUUUCUAGUGUUUAGAGCAUUACUUUUUAUAAGUAUUCCAGCAAGCCUGUAACGUAGACCAAAUGUACCCGCUCCAUAUUGAAAAAGAAGGGGUUGGAGAAGAGUGUCUUGUCCAUGGACACUUUGGGAGUUUGUGACAAAGGUGACAUUUGAACUGGAGACUUCCAGAAUCAUACCUCAGUCUCUUAGACACUGUACUAAUAGUGCUCAUCUUGUUGAGACUCAUCCUUUGCUACUUUAACUUAUCCUAUGCAGACUUGCUUGCUACUUUUACUUGGACUCUAAUUACAAAGCAAUUAUAAUUUAGUGCCUUCCCUUUUCUUCCGAUACAAAUAAACCAACAAAGUCCUCAAAGGCAAAUGCAAUAAAAUAGUAAAUUAUAGCUGGAGUUUACUAAACAAAUGCAACCUAGUUAAAUUUAGAAAAAUCUUCACUUUUGCUUACAUUUGCAAUUUUACUGCUGAACUACUGGUAUUUCUUACUUAUGCAAACAUUAAAAUGUAUAAGAAACUCUCUUGUGUACUAUAUAUGCAGCAACUACUCAUGAUUUAUAAUACCCAAUUUGGGGAGGGGGGA
Non-coding RNA from Podarcis muralis (Common wall lizard), 1416 nucleotides. The record is from RefSeq and is a predicted model, not a curated record. Lineage: Eukaryota; Metazoa; Chordata; Lepidosauria; Squamata; Lacertidae.